AAAACAAGCUGGCUUGUCGCUUUGGCGAUUAAAGGCUAAAGAGGAAAGUCCGGGCAAUGCAGAGCACCCUACUUCCUAACGGGAAGGCAUAUCUUUCAUAUGACAGCAAGUGCCACAGAAAACAAACCGCCCGCUUCAAUUAAAUGAAGAGGGUAAGGGUGAAAAGGUGAGGUAAGGGCUCACCGCUCUAUGGGUGACCAUAGAGGCAGGGUAAACCUUAGGGAUUGCAAGGCCAAAUAGCCAUGUCUACGCAAUGGCGUAAUGGGCUGCUCGUUCAUUUUUAAGACAUGUGGGUGGGCCGCUAGAAGUUAUAAGUGAUUAUAACUCCAGAUAAAUGACAAGCAGUGCGCUGUAGCGCACUACAGAACCCGGCUUAUAGGCUUGUUUUUCUU
RNAcentral lists this RNase P RNA (392 nucleotides) under Candidatus Cardinium sp. Its description in RNAcentral is "RNase P RNA component class A". It matches the Rfam family "Bacterial RNase P class A". Rfam says of the family: Ribonuclease P (RNase P) is a ubiquitous endoribonuclease, found in archaea, bacteria and eukarya as well as chloroplasts and mitochondria. Its best characterised activity is the generation of mature 5'-ends of tRNAs by cleaving the 5'-leader elements of precursor-tRNAs. Lineage: Bacteria; Pseudomonadati; Bacteroidota; Cytophagia; Cytophagales; Amoebophilaceae. RNAcentral also lists the same sequence under 1 other name. The record is from RNAcentral.